GUCCUGCCAAUUUUAUUGUUGUUAUUUCUAUCCUGCCUUUUAAUUUAUCAAUCUUUUGGUGCCUGUUUUUUUUUAAAUUAUCCUGACUUAAUUCUACAUAAUUUGUCAUCCUUUUUUUAUUUUCAUAGUGUUGUUGUUCAAAUUUCACCCCCCCCCCCCUCAAGAAAAAAACCAACAAAAACAACUUCCCACCUAAGUUUCAAAUGGAACCUCCG
Molecule: long non-coding RNA, 215 nt
Filed under: Mytilus galloprovincialis (Mediterranean mussel)
Lineage: Eukaryota; Metazoa; Mollusca; Bivalvia; Mytilida; Mytilidae
Source: RNAcentral